RNAcentral lists this ribosomal RNA (253 nucleotides) under uncultured bacterium. RNAcentral's name for it is "partial 16S ribosomal RNA". It matches the Rfam family "Bacterial small subunit ribosomal RNA", at positions 524 to 776 of the family's 1533-position model. The record is from RNAcentral.
UACGUAGGGGGCAAGCGUUGUCCGGAAUCAUUGGGCGUAAAGCGCGUGUAGGCGGUUUGGUAAGUCCGCUGUGAAAGUCCAGGGCUCAACCCUGGAAAGCCGGUGGAUACUGUCAGACUAGAGUGCGGGAGAGGCGAGUGGAAUUCCUGGUGUAGCGGUGAAAUGCGCAGAUAUCAGGAGGAACACCAGUGGCGAAGGCGCCGCUCUGGGCCGUAACUGACGCUGAGAAGCGAAAGCGUGGGGAGUAAACAGG